GACGAACGCUGGCGGCGUGCUUAACACAUGCAAGUCGAACGGUGAAAGCGGAGCUUGCUCCGCUGGAUCAGUGGCGAACGGGUGAGUAACACGUGGGCAACCUGCCCCUCACUUCGGGAUAACUCCGGGAAACCGGGGCUAAUACCGGAUAUGACCUCCUUGGGCAUCCUUGGAGGUGGAAAGUUUUUCGGUGGGGGAUGGGCCCGCGGCCUAUCAGCUUGUUGGUGAGGUAGUGGCUCACCAAGGCGACGACGGGUAGCCGGCCUGAGAGGGCGACCGGCCACACUGGGACUGAGACACGGCCCAGACUCCUACGGGAGGCAGCAGGGGGGAAUAUUGCGCAAGGGGCGAAAGCCUGACGCAGCAACGCCGCGUGCGGGAUGACGGCCUUCGGGUUGUAAACCGCCUUCCGCAGGGAAGAAGCCGCAAGGUGACGGUACCUGCAGCAGAAGCACCGGCUAACUACGUGCCAGCCGCCGCAGUAA
RNAcentral lists this ribosomal RNA (485 nucleotides) under uncultured bacterium. RNAcentral's name for it is "partial 16S ribosomal RNA". It matches the Rfam family "Bacterial small subunit ribosomal RNA", at positions 28 to 523 of the family's 1533-position model. The record is from RNAcentral.